GCGUAACGCGUAAGUAACUUGCCCCAAGGUAAGGAAUAACGUCGAAGAAUCGGCGCUAAUACCUCAUAAUGCAGCGGAUCCGCAUGGAUAUGUUGUUAAGGUUACCGCCUUGGGAUAGGCUUGCGUCUGAUUAGCUAGUUGGUGUGGUAAUGGCACACCAAGGCUACGAUCAGUAACUGGUCUGAGAGGAUGAUCAGUCACACUGGAACUGAGACACGGUCCAGACUCCUACGGGAGGCAGCAGUGAGGAAUAUUGGGCAAUGCACGAAAGUGUGACCCAGCAACGCCGCGUGGAGGAUGAAGGUAUUCUAUAUCGUAAACUCCUGUGAGAGCAGACGAAAGACAGAUUAUUAAUUUGGAUGACUGUAUGCUCAGAGGAAGCCCCGGCUAACUACGUG
RNAcentral lists this ribosomal RNA (398 nucleotides) under uncultured bacterium. RNAcentral describes it as "bacterial SSU rRNA". It matches the Rfam family "Bacterial small subunit ribosomal RNA", at positions 108 to 507 of the family's 1533-position model. The record is from RNAcentral.